CCUACGGGCGGCAGCAGUGGGGAAUAUUGGACAAUAGGCGAAAGCCUGAUCCAGCCAUGCCGCGUGUGUGAAGAAGGCCUUCGGGUUGUAAAGCACUUUCAGUGGGGAAGAAAGCCUUGGGGCUAAUACCCUCGAGGAAGGACAUCACCCACAGAAGAAGCACCGGCUAACUCCGUGCCAGCAGCCGCGGUAAUACGGAGGGUGCGAGCGUUAAUCGGAAUUACUGGGCGUAAAGCGCGCGUAGGCGGUCUGAUAAGCCGGUUGUGAAAGCCCCGGGCUCAACCUGGGAACGGCAUCCGGAACUGUCAGGCUAGAGUGCAGGAGAGGAAGGUAGAAUUCCCGGUGUAGCGGUGAAAUGCGUAGAGAUCGGGAGGAAUACCAGUGGCGAAGGCGGCCUUCUGGACUGACACUGACGCUGAGGUGCGAAAGCGUGGGUAGCAAACAGGAUUAGAUACCCCAGUAGUC
RNAcentral lists this ribosomal RNA (465 nucleotides) under Vreelandella stevensii. RNAcentral's name for it is "partial 16S ribosomal RNA". It matches the Rfam family "Bacterial small subunit ribosomal RNA", at positions 338 to 795 of the family's 1533-position model. The record is from RNAcentral. Lineage: Bacteria; Pseudomonadati; Pseudomonadota; Gammaproteobacteria; Oceanospirillales; Halomonadaceae.